AUGAACGCUGGCGGCGUGCCUAACACCUGCAAGUCGAGCGGCAGCGAGGGGUGCUUGCACCCUGCCGGCGAGCGGCGGACGGCUGAGUAACGCGUGGGAACGUGCCCCAAAGUGAGGAAUAACUGCCCGAAAGGGUAGCUAAUACCGCAUAUUAUCUUCGGAUCAAAGGAUUUAUCCGCUUUGGGAGCGGCUCGCGUCGGAUUAGGUAGUUGGUGAGGUAAUGGCUCACCAAGCCGACGAUCCGUAGCUGGUCUGAGAGGAUGACCAGCCAGACUGGAACUGAGACACGGUCCAGACUCCUACGGGAGGCAGCAGUGAGGAAUCUUCCACAAGGGGCGAAAGCCUGAUGGAGCAACGCCGCGUGCAGGACGAAGGCCUUCGGGUUGUAAACUGCUUUUAUAAGUGAGGAAUAUGACGGUAACUUAUGAAUAAGGAUCGGCUAACUACGUG
Molecule: ribosomal RNA, 450 nt
Filed under: uncultured bacterium
Lineage: Bacteria
Description: partial 16S ribosomal RNA
Rfam family: Bacterial small subunit ribosomal RNA
Source: RNAcentral